This 972-nucleotide ribosomal RNA is filed under the name Salmonella enterica subsp. enterica serovar Saintpaul. Its description in RNAcentral is "partial 23S ribosomal RNA". It matches the Rfam family "Bacterial large subunit ribosomal RNA", at positions 1918 to 2884 of the family's 2925-position model. The record is from RNAcentral. Lineage: Bacteria; Pseudomonadati; Pseudomonadota; Gammaproteobacteria; Enterobacterales; Enterobacteriaceae. RNAcentral also lists the same sequence under 1 other name.
CCCCGGUAAACGGCGGCCGUAACUAUAACGGUCCUAAGGUAGCGAAAUUCCUUGUCGGGUAAGUUCCGACCUGCACGAAUGGCGUAAUGAUGGCCAGGCUGUCUCCACCCGAGACUCAGUGAAAUUGAACUCGCUGUGAAGAUGCAGUGUACCCGCGGCAAGACGGAAAGACCCCGUGAACCUUUACUAUAGCUUGACACUGAACAUUGAGCCUUGAUGUGUAGGAUAGGUGGGAGGCUUUGAAGUGUGGACGCCAGUCUGCAUGGAGCCGACCUUGAAAUACCACCCUUUAAUGUUUGAUGUUCUAACGUGGACCCGUAAUCCGGGUUGCGGACAGUGUCUGGUGGGUAGUUUGACUGGGGCGGUCUCCUCCUAAAGAGUAACGGAGGAGCACGAAGGUUGGCUAAUCCUGGUCGGACAUCAGGAGGUUAGUGCAAUGGCAUAAGCCAGCUUGACUGCGAGCGUGACGGCGCGAGCAGGUGCGAAAGCAGGUCAUAGUGAUCCGGUGGUUCUGAAUGGAAGGGCCAUCGCUCAACGGAUAAAAGGUACUCCGGGGAUAACAGGCUGAUACCGCCCAAGAGUUCAUAUCGACGGCGGUGUUUGGCACCUCGAUGUCGGCUCAUCACAUCCUGGGGCUGAAGUAGGUCCCAAGGGUAUGGCUGUUCGCCAUUUAAAGUGGUACGCGAGCUGGGUUUAGAACGUCGUGAGACAGUUCGGUCCCUAUCUGCCGUGGGCGCUGGAGAACUGAGGGGGGCUGCUCCUAGUACGAGAGGACCGGAGUGGACGCAUCACUGGUGUUCGGGUUGUCAUGCCAAUGGCACUGCCCGGUAGCUAAAUGCGGAAGAGAUAAGUGCUGAAAGCAUCUAAGCACGAAACUUGCCCCGAGAUGAGUUCUCCCUGAGACUUAGAGUCUCCUGAAGGAACGUUGAAGACGACGACGUUGAUAGGCCGGGUGUGUAAGCGCAGCGAUGC